ACUUCAGUCUUAGACUUCCCAGCUGCCUUGAGGGAUUGGACCAUUCCCAUGGUUCUGUGUGUUCCAAAUAUUUUCAAAUAUUAGGUAUAAGGUUGAGCGUUUCAGGAUAUGCUGUUUUGAGCU
This 123-nucleotide long non-coding RNA is filed under the name Pongo abelii (Sumatran orangutan). RNAcentral's name for it is "lincRNA". The record is from RNAcentral. Lineage: Eukaryota; Metazoa; Chordata; Mammalia; Primates; Hominidae.